CUUGUUUCGAUUGCGCUUCUGUUUUAUAUAUUUUAUUUUGAUUGUUUUUUUUUUUUUAAGUUUGGUUCAUUUCAACUUUUGUACUUUUAAGCAAGUAUUCUGUAAAAACAACAACAACAAUGACAAACAUAAAUUGAAAUGUACAAAUUUUUACUUGAAACGAACCGAAAUGAAACGAAAUUAGCAUUGUAAUGAAACGAAAUGGAAAUAAACUAAAAGUACUACUAAGUUGAUUAGCCGGAUUCCAGUUAUCAUAAUUCCUGACAUUUUGAACAAUGUGGAAUCCGACAACAAAGUGGCCAACACACAUACGAGCAGACGUUAAGAAUUGUGAUUUUAUAUAUGCAUCUGCUGUGGUAGUUUUGUGAAUUGUGCGAAAUUACGUAUACCGCGACAAGUGAAUCUUCGCAUGGCACUGACGUGCGCCGUGAGCCUGUGAAAUUUCGCUGAAAAUCGAUAAGGACACAGGCAAAGUGCCACCGCGAAUGCAAAAGCAACGCAAAGUCACCAAACUAAAAGCACA
Drosophila innubila is the source of this 523-nucleotide long non-coding RNA. RefSeq lists it as uncharacterized. The record is from RefSeq and is a predicted model, not a curated record. NCBI's taxonomy places the organism in Eukaryota, Metazoa, Arthropoda, Insecta, Diptera, Drosophilidae. The transcript is spliced from 3 exons.